GGCUCCUUCCCAGCAUUCCUCCACUUCCGGCCCCUCCUCCAUAAUUGUCUGCCAUCUUUUGGUUGUCAUGCACCGGGAAUAUACUUAUUCAUUGGUGUAGCCGGCAGGAUAGACAGUCCGAAAAUAUGAGUGAAGGACAGGACCUGAACACCGUGCUGCAAGGGAUGAAUGCGCAGAUCCAGUCCCUGCAGCUAGCACAAGCCACGACCAACCGGGAGCUAGAAGAGACGAAGUCCAGGUUGGCUGCUGCACAGAAGAAGAAAAGACGCACCGCCGCCAUGAGCCUCCCUCCUACAGCUUCCCGCACUACGCUACUUCCGCCCUUCCUCCGUCCACUGCUCAUGACGUCAUCAUUCCCAUCUUCCACAACGGCUCCUUCCCAGCAUUCCUCCACUUCCGGCCCCACCUCCAUAAAUGUCCGCUGACACCAUCUUUUGGUUGUCAUGCACUGGGUUUAUAAAGUAUUGUGGAUCAAUUUUCAGUAUACGGGGCCGGAAACC
Long non-coding RNA from Polypterus senegalus (gray bichir), 500 nucleotides. RefSeq lists it as uncharacterized. The transcript has 3 exons. The record is from RefSeq and is a predicted model, not a curated record. Lineage: Eukaryota; Metazoa; Chordata; Cladistia; Polypteriformes; Polypteridae.